Molecule: non-coding RNA, 17374 nt
Organism: Rattus norvegicus (Norway rat)
Lineage: Eukaryota; Metazoa; Chordata; Mammalia; Rodentia; Muridae
Source: RefSeq, a predicted model, not a curated record
CUUUCCUUCCCCUCCCUUUCUCCAAGGUUUUUGUCCACUUAAUAUGAACUAGAGUCACCUGGGAAGAGGGACUCUCAACUUGUUCCGUCUGUUUAGACUGUCCUGUGGACAUGUCUGUGGAGAUAUUUUCUUGAUUAAUGGCUGCUGUGGGAAGGCCUGCCCACCGUGGGUUAUGUCACUGCUGGGCAUGUGGUUCUAGAUGCUAUAAGAAAGCAGGCUGAGCAAGCCAUGAGGAGCAAGUCAGUCAGCAGUGUUCCUCCACGGCCUCUGCUUUCUUUUGGCUUCCUGCCUGACUUCCCUCAGGGAUGGAAUGGGACGUACAAGUAUAAGCUGAAUAAACCCUCCCUCACCAAGUUGGCCCUGGCUGGUGUUUUUAUCACAGCAACAAAAAGCAAACUAGAAUCAAUCCUCUCCUUCCAGACUGUGGCGAUAGUGUAACCAGCAGUCUGGUGCCUCUUAUCUUUACCAUGACAAUUGAUCCUAAGCUCUUCUCAAACUGACCCAAAAGAAAUCUGCCCUUCCUUCCUUAAAUUGCUGCUUCCCGGGGAUUUGGUCAUGGUGAUUCAAAAAGUGCCAAAUGCCAGCUCACUCUUGAAUGACUGCACAACUCCACAAAACAAGAGCAACAAGCACACCGCAGACACACACACACACACACACACACACACACACACACACACCCCAUUCCAGUUGUCAGUUGGGAUUGCGGGAAGGAAAAGACGAGGCUGGGGUAUGUCUCAUGACUUUGCCAGUUUGUUCAGAGCUGGGAGAAUCCGUGUUGAAAUCCUGGCAUUACUAGCCCAGAUAUGCAGUGUCCUGCCCACCACAGCCAUGAGAACUAAAUCUAAAACUGACAAGUGCUUGCAGACCAGGCCUCAUUUCCAAGCGACCACACGUUUUCAUUCAUCAGUGAGUGGACUGACAACUCCGUGUCUAUUCAGAACCUUAAGGAAUGUGCCAAGCAGGCAGAAAUGUCAACUUCUCUAUGUGCCACAGGAUCCUUGAAGGCACCAUACUCCUUCUUUAGUGACCCCUGAACCAAGAUCAGAUGCCUGGGCUCAGGAUUAGAGGCAGAGGCUGCCAGCAUCCCUGGCUGCAGGGUGGCUAAGUUCCGAUCAAAGGAGAGGAAGGUGAUGACCAUCUGGAAUGAGUCCUUCCUGGGUUCGUCUCCCCUAAGCUGCCCCCUUCCCCACUGCUUGGAAUACAGACUGCUGGGGCGGGCAAUAGUGGUUCAUCCAGCUGAAGACCACAGGGCAGGAAGACUGUUCAACAGAGCCUGACGCCCUGACUGUGAAGUUACCUCGGCAGCACUAUUCGUUUGUACGAGAGAGACUUCACUUUCUAUUUUGUUCAAGCCACUUCCGUCAACAUAGCGUAACUAACCUCGAUCAACAGAGUGAAAGACCAUGGAAAAUCGUAUUCCCUAAGGUCAGCAGCUGGGUGGUGACAGGGAUGUUACUGAUAAUAACUGAAACGGCAGUAAUCCUUUUCCCUCUGUUGUGUGCGCAUGUAAGACACUUUGCUGCCACGGAGCAGAGACAGGCCAUUAGAUAAUAUGACAAGGAAUUGUGCCACUGGAUCAAGCUGCAGCAAUGCUCAGCCCGGUGACUUACAUCAUCAACAACGCUCACUGAGCCACAGACUGUAUCUCUAAUAAGCCUCAUAACAAUGGAUGAACAAAGAGAUGGCAAUGAACCAACGCUGAGAGGGACCAACUUCCUCUCCCAAAAACUGUCUCCUACCUCUAUCUGGUCAUAAAGCUUCUACCUAAGAGCCAUCCCUAAUUGCGUAGCUGUCGCUCUCUAAGACCUGUUCUGGCCACUCGUUCAAAUCUGAAUCUGAAACAUCCCUUAGGUUCAAUGUUUUGAAUGUUUGCUGCUCUCCAGCUAGCAGUGUUAACUUGGAGAGGGGUGGAACCUUUCUCUAUGGGAUCUGCCUGGUGGAAGCAGUUGGGUGGGGGUGGGCUUUGAAGGUUACACAAAGCCUUUAUCCUCGAUCUUUCCUGACCUGCCUCAUAGUACGAUGUGCCUCUGUACGUGCUGAUACUGCUGGACAGACUGAGGUCCUUUGAAAAAUCAUGAGCCAACAAGUGUCUUUCUUUCUUCAAGUUGUUUCUCUAAAGUGAGGAACAGAGAGUUGGUCCCGGCAAUGUGGCAACAUUCAGAUAGCUAAUCUUACCAGGUGGUUUAUAAGCCUUUGAAACUGGCUUGUGAGAGGAAUUCGCAACAGUUUAACGAUGUGGACUCUGAGGCUCUAGACACACUGUUCUGGUGAGAACCUGGAGGAUCAGAACACUGACAAUGACAUGAACAACGAAGACCCUACCCACAUGGUCUCGGGGAGGAACAAGGACUCCACUGGUCACUGGACUCUAGAGGUCACUUGAGUCUGCCAAACAAUUUAUUUACAUUCUACCCAUGACCUGAAAUUUUGAGUGAGGUGGACUUCAAAGGUAAUAGGGAAAUUGCAAAGCAACCCAGCAGUCGGCCUGGUCUGGUUCUGGGUGGUUAUGUUUAGCUACAUUUACAGUGAGGCUUGGGACAAAAUGAGGAGAAUUUUCAAGAUGUGUGUGAUGGUUUGUAUAUGCGUGGCCCAGGGAGGGGCACUGUUGGGAGUUGUGGGCCUUGUCCUGGCUGCUUGGGGGCUAGAAUUCUGCUAGCAGCCUUUAGAGGAAGAUGUAGAACUCUCAGCUCCUCCUGCACCGUGCCUGCCUGGAUGCUGCCAUGCUCUUGCCUUGAUACUGGACUGAACCUCUGAACCUGUAAACCAGCCCUAAGGAAAUGUUGUCUUUAUAAGACUUGCCUUGGUCCUGGUGUCUCUUCACAGCAGGAAAGCCCCAACUAAGACAACGUGGGAUUUGGCCCUGAAAGGAAGGUGAAGGUGCUUAAGGCUGUGGAUAAGAGAAGUGGGGUCAGGGCAGGCUACUGAUCUUAUGUCAUCACUGUCAUUAAGAAGAUGGACACCUGGCACCGGGGCAACAGAGCAGGUGAGCUGAGACUCUGUCCCCAUCCUAGGGUCUCCAGGGCAGAAAACAGAAGACUGAUCAAUUAAAAUCCUUCCCUUCAAAAGGAGACUGUAUUUUGAAGAGUCACCAGGGUGCUCUGAUGGAAAGGGGCCACCUAAGGAGAUGGUUUUCUAGGUUCUGGUUCAGCUACUCAGGUACUCAGAAGCUGAGGCAGCCAUAAUCGAAGGGGUCCCCACUGUCGGCACUUUGGACUUAUCUAUCUGGUGCUAUUUUUCAGGUGUGCAGAAUGGAAAUUAUGGGGUCACAGAGACUUGCACCAAGAUUUUUAAGGAACACCCGUGUGUGAGAGACCAAGCGAUAUGCCCCAGAUUCUAAACAUGGGGCAGAAGGCUCACUGUUUUCUCUGCUGGCUGCUGAUCCUACUUUUGUGUAAUUCUGAGCCCAGUCUACGUUACAGGGGAUCCCAGACUGUUCUGAGCACCAGUGGAGACUUUGACUUAGACUAUUGGUCAGUGUUGAGACUGUGAGGGCUUCUUGAAGUUGGAAUAAACACAUCUUUAGCUUUUAAGAUGGCCAUAAGCCUUUGGCAACCAGGAGGGAACGUUAUGGUUUGACUCUGAGUGUCUCUCACAGGCUUAGGUUUUGACUGUUCUGCAGCUGGUGGUAUUACUUGGAGAGAGUUUGGAACCUUCGUGAAGCAAGACCUAGCUGGCGGAAACAGGAUACUCAGGGUGGGUGCUUGGCAUGUACCCUAGGUUAUACCUGGUUCUUGCUCUCCCUGCUUCAGGGUCCACUGUGAUUUGAGGAGCCUCCACCACAAGCUGGCACUGCUGCGAACCCUGCUGUACCUUCCCUGCCAUGAACUCUUCUGAAACCGUGAGCCAAAAUAAGUCUUUCUUCCUGUUAAGUUGUUUCUGUCAGGCAACUUAGUCACAACAACAUAGAAAUCAUAAUUUACCAACCAUGCAUAUUGUUCCACAGCUCCACACAGCACAGGCUGGUUAUCACCUCUAGCUGUCUGUGCUAGCUGUCUGUGUCUGUCUGUCUGAUUGGAUAAGGCUAUUCUGAUUUACAGAAAAAAAGUCAAGAAACAACAAGGUACAAGAGACCACAAGCUGGUGAACAAUAGCCGCAUUACAGUCUCUGGGGGAAGCAAAGAGAGCUGGGCAUUUAAACUCCCUGCCCACAAAAUAAAAACAUGUAGGGAUUCUUAGCACGUAGCUUGCUCAUCAUGGGCUUCAGAUUCACCUGGGUAGAACAUCAAGAUUCCUGAGCCCACUCAGGUAGAUAUAAGCACAGGCUCUGAGUGUCAGAAUUACAGACAAGUUCUCAGAUCAGUGCUCAGUGAAGUGUGCAGACAAACUGCUCUAUGCUGUGAUCCGGGUCUGAGGAGGUUGUGGUGUCCAGGGCCACAGGCUGUUAACAAGGUGGGGAGGGGGAAGAGAGGGGAGAUGGAGAUGACACCAGUGGAUGAGUUGUUAUGCACAGUGAAGAAAACAGGCUCGCUCAGAACCAAGGUCCACCACACAGGCUGGAUAGCAGAGCUGGGCUCUGAAUCCAGCUCUCUCUGAUGUCAAAGUCUCUGCUUCAGGCUGUUGAGCUCCUCCUGUUCUACAAGUCCAUUUCCAAAGCUGUCACCGUGUUUCCCUGGAGUCAAAUCCUAUCUGGCUCCCUACUGUCAGAAAGCAGUAAGCAUUGGCCAUGAGAGCUCUGCAGAGCCCUCUUAAGAGAGAGUUCGUUUGCAUUUUAGUAGACAUAAAUAAAAUGAGCCCUCAAAGGAGGAAGGGAAAGGGCUUGAGAGACUUGGCUGGGUCUCCAUGACCAGAACGUAGCUUUAGCUCCUGGGUACCAUCUACUUCCCAGACACCAGUCACAGCAGCUGGCCCCACACCACUGCCAGCUGGAGCCUGUCUCUCCCAAGAAGGCCAGAUUUUCAGAGGUGGUCAUGGUCUUCCCUGGGCGGCUUCUUUGUGGCAGAUGGUAUAAAUAAUUAACAGUCAAGCCACUCCACUUCACUCUUGAGUGCCUACUGUGUGUUUUUAAAAAUAAAUCCCUGGUCCUUGUCUCUAAGGAGCUUCCGACUGGUGGAGGAGCCGCACACAGAAACUGUCACUCACGGCAAAUGGGAGAGGAAGAGUCAGUGUGGAAAAGCUGAGGCCCAGAGCAGCAGGCCUUGCUUGCUUGGUGUCUUAUGGAAACGUGGAGUGGAUAUGGAAGUCCUCAGGGCAAAGGCCCUUCCAGUAGGCAGAGGCCGGGGAAUAGUGGGAGAUAGGAGAUUUGGGAAGAAGCACUUCAGAGGAAUGAGGGAGACUCUGGUUCUCAUCAUAUGAGGUCAUCUAACCCUCUUGAUGGUUAAUGCUAUUAACUCUGAACCACUAGAACAAACAGGUGUUGAAGGCAUCAAAAAGUGCUGGUAAGGUGCUGGGGAGAUGGCUCAGGGGUUAAGAGCACUGACUGCUCUUCCAAAGGUCCCGAGUUCAAAUCCCAGCAACGACAUGGUGGCUCACAACCAUCUGUAAUGGGGUCCGAUGCCCUCCAGGGGUGGGGGCGGGGGCAGGGCAUGUGGAUGAUACUCAGGACAGGUCCACUUGGGGAAUGUCAAGAGACAUAGAAAGGCUGUAUGCAUGGCUGAGGCAAGGUCUUAACAACCAGAGUAGUUGGUAUGUGUGGGAACGUACACUCACUUGUGAGGUGACAAACCAGAGGUUCAGACAAGACAUGUGACUUUUCCAAGAUGUCAUAGUGAGUCAGCAUGGAGACAAGGACCACCCUGCCCCUUCUCUGCUGCUAGGACACGAGCUUUGCAUGAGGACAUAAAGGUGGCCUUUGUGCGCUGAGGGGUAGCUAAGUUUGCUGAGUUGAUUAGUAUAUACUCUUGGAUCACUGCAACCAAUACUCGAUAGAAACAAGCACUGAAGAACGGGACGACUUUCUUCUAGCUUGCAGUUCCCCAGAGUUCAGUCCACAGCUGUUUGGCCCCACCUGCUUGGGAAGGAUACCUGGCAGCAGCAAAAUGUGGCCAAAGCUCGUCACAUCACAGCGGCCCGGGAAGAGGGGAGUAACACAGGGAGCAUGGUCUUCCAAGGCCCACCCCCAAAGAUAGAGCCCCAUCUCUUAAAAAUGGCACAGCCUCUUAAAAUAGUGCCACAGGCUGGGGAAUCAGCAUUCAAAACAUACGCCCAUGGCAGAUGAUUCAAAUCCAAAAACAAAAAGUUAGAUUGAGAAACACCUAGAUUAAUACUUCACAUCUCCAUCUGUCUGUCUGUCUGUCCGUGUCUGUCCGUGUGUGUGUGUGUGUGUGUGUGUGUGUGUGUGUAAUGGCAUUCCCAGAGACAAUUAGCUCAUGAGAGCUCUGGCCUGACCAAUGAAGCAAUCCUUUGAUGGGUUCAUAAGAAGAUGAUGUUUUGGGGACAUAGUAAAGUAUAAGAGAUGGGGGCUAAUUGGAGGAAGUAAGUCACUAAUAUGUCCUUACACAGACACUAUCUCUGCUUUUUGGGCACAAUGAUGUGAACUGCUUUGCUCUGCUCUGUGCUCUCUACUACGAUUGACUAACAUCUCUGAAAUCACACGCCCAAAUCGACACUUUCUACAUUAGGGUGUUUCUGUUGGGUGAUUGGUGAUAACCUGUGGUAAAGCAGCUAAGAUAGGAUGAUCCUUUGGAGCAGAUUACAGGAAGGUAGCCAUGACCACACCACACAAACUAGUGAAAACGGACAGUACAUGACCAUCACUCAUGCUGCCCAAGUGGAGAGCCACAAAGCUAGAUCCAGACUGGUGGUCGUUCCCACAGGGCAUGGGCUGGGAUGACCAGAGCAUGGCACGUGGAGCUCCAGGGGCUCCUGGGCUCUGUCUGAGAGUGUUGUUUAACUGCUAUUCAGGCUCAGACCUGUGUCAACUCCGACGACGGAGACCACAGACCUCAGAUGUUUAUCUACACAGUACAAUAUGGUGCUGGCAGGAAGCGAGGUGGGUAGGCAGGCAUCACACUUUAGAGGUUGGUGAGUCAGAAGCACGGAUCGCCAUGUGAGGAGUCUCUGCGUCGCUGUUCACUACCAGCCAGUCUACCUGCCAAACCACUUUGUGUACAUGUCUGUAGGCUGGCCCCAGGUAGCCCUAGACACUGGUGACUUUUCUGUUGCUGCGACAGAACACCUGACAGAAAGAACUGAAGGGAGGAAGGUUCUAUUCGGAUGGCUUAGGGGUGGUGGGACCAGCACAUGGCGGGUGGCAGUGUGAGGCUGUUUUUACCGAGCCAGGCCAUGAACGUAAUCCACCGCAGUGCUGCCUUCCCCACAGAGACACACUUCCUCCACUAGAACUUCCCCAAACAUCCCUACCUGCUGGUGACCAAGCACACAAGCCUGUGGGUGAGGUGGGCUAGUUUGUGUGGUAACAACAUCUGAUCGUAACACAAACCUGAAAGUUCUUGCAGUUACAAGAACCACGCACGCACUUUCCUCCUGGCCACCAGGAACCUUGGGAUCAAAUGUUGAGCCCCGGGUGGUGUUUCCGCAUACUUAACCCAGCGCCCCAGCUCCUGAAGCUAGUUUUUUCUCCUUUGCAUCUGCAGUCUGGUCAUGAAGGAAGCUCCUGCUUCGGUUGAACGUUGGAGGAAGGGGGACGCCAGGUAACAAGAACAAACAACUAUUCAGUUAGGCCCAGGAAUCCUUGGUCGUUCUUCUUAACCAGCUUCCUCUCAAGGGUCAACACAGGUCACACAGGAGAGUUGUGUAUUGGUGGAUAUGUAUUUGAGUGUGUGUGUGUGUGUGUGUGUGUGUGUGGAUACGUGAUAAUGGGAACACACUCAAGUUUACACUGUAUUUGUACAAAGGCCUGAAUGGGUACAUUCGAUUGGUAUGAGUUAGGGGUGGGGGCACUCCUGCUCUGAAGGAAAAGCCAGAAUUUCUGAUAUGCACAUAGCCCCAGUACUGCCCUGAGGCCAAGGUGAUGAGGAACCCUCACAGGGUCUUUGGAAAGGGAGGACACUCAGGCUGUGCCUAUCAGGGGCACUCAGGGCAGGCUAGCGCUGGCCCCUGAGAGGCUAGCAUGCUAUCAGCAGUGGGUCAUGUGUCCAGUGGGCAUCGGUGGGAUUUUCUUUGUUGCUAUUUGUAUGUAUGUAUGUAUGUAUGUAUGUAUGUAUUUAUGUAUGUAUGCAUGCAUACAUGCAUUUCUGUCUUGAGAAAGGAUCUACUGUCUCCCCAGCUCCCAAGUUGGCCUUUAAAUUGUUGCCGAGGAUGGCUUUGAGCUUCUUAUGCUCAUAUUUCUACCUCCCGAGUGCUGGGAUCACAGGUUCCCCGUACUGAAGAGCCAAGGUUUGAUGCAUACUAGACUCCACCAGUUGAACUAAGGAGUCUGAUUAGCUUCCCUAGCCAUCAAUCCCCUCACCUCUCCAAUGAAGAUUCCAGAGUUCCCUGUAAGGGCUGUUAGCCCAAAUGAGUUAGGCUCUGUAAAGGCACUUCGUUCUGUUAUAUGCUGCGCCGACAAAAAUGGGCAACUGUUAACAAGGAACCAGUUGACCCAGGCUGUCCAGGCAAAGGAGCACAGCCAAGCCCGGGAGACUGCCCCACUGUCUGUCUGGUUAUGCAGUAUGGCCUCAGAGUCUGCCCAGGAUUAAUAGAAACAGGGAGCAAGUAAGUACCCUGGGGAGAGGGCUCCUCUCCCUGGCUCUGGUGGCACAUUAAAGACUCUGUUAGUCCUGCACUGGAGACAGGAACUGCCACACUCCCCACCCUCUGGGAACCUUUGCUGUCCUAUAUCAACAUCCCAAGGGUCUGGCAUUCCAGGGGCUUCAGCAAAGGCGGAGCUCCAGGAAGGUGGAGCUGAGAGAAUGCCCCUCCUCCACUGUGCCAAGGAGUCAUGGCCAAGGCAGCUUCUCUGUUCUUUGUUUUGUCUUAUGAGGUAUGAAACAAAUCAUUUCUGAUGGUAGCUGCUGCACCAGGGAUGAGAUAUCAAGAAACACUAACAACAGGCAUGUGCUCGGGGAGUCCCGUCAGUCUAGAAGCCCCAUGAUCCCCUCACACAGCUGUGCCUACUCUGCCUGUGUUUCGUGAUGCCUCCUCUGAAGGAGACUGUGGUAGUCUAUUGUGAUACGUGGCCCCGAACCUGGCAAUGCUAAUUUAUUCCUUUGCGCUGGCAAACAGCGCUGCCUGUGAAAAAUGGCAGCCACUUUAUUUUACACAUGCAAAGAAUAUUAACAAGCACGAUUUCCUCCCACCGUUUAUCUUCCUCGGAGUGCGGUGUUAAACAGUAUCAACAGGGGUUUCAGUGGUGGUGUGCUCCACGCAUCCCCAGUCUGCACAGAACUUCCACCAGCACACCGGAGCAAGACGACGUCCCUGUGGCACUUGUCGAAAUCUUCUCAGCCCUCUGCAUUUAUUACGAAAUAUAAAUCCGCAUCCGCACUCUGACAGGAUACAACAAUAAAGUCUACAGAGGAAACCGGCAUGGCAAUCUGCAUAAACCGACGCCCGCAUUUACUUCUUCUGGGGAGGAGAAUGAAAAGGCAAGAAUGUGUGUCUUCUUUUCGCCUUGGCCAGGCCUGAGCCCAGGGCUGGAGAGAAGCAUCCUUAAACGGCAGAGAGCAGCUGGGCACGAUGAGCCCUUGACAAUGAAUCUGCUGUUCUCUCCGAGCAGCCAACCAUCGGACCAAAGUCUCUGGGGGAAAGUUAUGCAAAUUCACAUGCAAAUGAGUCUGGUAAACUUAAAGAUUCUGCCCUGAAAGUGGCAGCUUUGGAGGGAGGGUCUCACAGCCUCUGGGAAACACAUAGGGCCAGGUCACUGCCAGCCAGUUCCAGCUGCUCAGUUAGUGCCCUGGAGGAGUGAUGCUGGCUUCCAAGGUCACAGGGCAAGCACCUGGCUUUUCAACUUCACAAUCUGUCCGGUGGUUACUUUCCUCCCUAUGAAGAAUGGCCAUUCAAUUUGUGAUUGUGUGAUUGUGUGUGUGUGUGUGUGUGUUUAAGGCAUGUACCUGUGUAUGAGUAUGUAUAUAAACCUAAGUUAUUGAUUCUGUUCCCCAGAAUACUAAGACAGAAAUACUUUGCUCCCCGAUUCCUGGGUGGUCAUGGUGCUCAUAUCAUGAGAAAUAUCACUGCUGUCAACCAAGUCCUUGCCCAACCACCCUCCCCUCCAGUAGGGGCUGAGCCUGCUGAGCCUGUGAAAAAUAGUGUUAGUGAUGUGGUCCCUUGGGUGUGUGGUCCAGACAAGCCGGGGAUUGAUGGCUGCUGGAGCGGGCAGGAGGGCCACCUGGAGAAAAGAGUGGGGCCAAGGGGAGAUGAGGAGGAUUCGAUCCAGCCACAGUGGAAAGAGGAAUGAGUGCAUGCGGAAGCAGUAUUCAGGUAUCCGGAAAAGACUGAGGUGUAGGGAUCCAGCGUUGUGUGUGCGGAUGCUGCAUCAAUGUGUGCAUGUCGGUGUGUACAUGUGCCUGAGUGAGUGUAUGUGUGUGAGAGAUUGUAUGUGUGCGUAUCUGCAUGUGAGUGUGUGUGUGUGUAUAUAUGUGUAUUGAAGCACAGCUUGUCAGGUAAGAGGCCAGGUACUGCUCUGUCAGGGAGAAGUCUCUGCGGCCACAGCAAGAGCACACAGUCAGAAAAAGGCAGGAAGGAAACAGAAAUAAAAUCCGAGGCUUCAGGCACCAUGUGAGGUGACUAAGAGCUUCUCCCAGAGUACAGAUGCAAGCUGCAUUCACUUCAAGGGCCCAGAGGAGAAUCCAUACCUGUCCACCCACCACAUCUACUCAGAUCUCAUGAAGAGUGAGGCCAGAUGGAAAUCUUGAAGCCCUCUAACAAAGCAGAUCCGAAGCCACUAGAAGCUGCCAAAGGCAAGGAGAAUGCCCGGACCCCCAUCCUCCAAAAGAACAGGGCUCUCCUGUAUUUGUUUCAUCCUCAGGCCUCCAGGAAGGUGAGGACAGAGUAACCUCCUAUUGUUUGAAGCUACACAAUUUGUGAUAAUUUGUUACUGCAGCCCCAGGAAUGAGUGUGGGAAGCCUUAGGGCAGAACAGACUGCCAUGGCUUGAGGAUCAGCUGCAGGCAAGAGAUCUCAGGAGAUCUGAGCUUGCAAGGAAGACCAGAGCUUCCUAGGAGCCCCGCCCAGAGUCUGAAACACUCCUCAUCUCACAAGUGUCCUCUGAGAGCACGUGGGCCUCUCCUCGAGGCAGCCCAUUAGAUCUGUGGAGUUCUAACUAGUAUCACGGUGUGAAUUACAGGAGGGGCCAUGGGCUCCCAGCACUAAGCUCUCAUCUCUUCUCAGUUUUGUAAGAUGCUAAGGCCUGAGCUGCCAGCUUUGCAGACGGGAAAGAGCCUGAGAGAGGUCGCACUAGGCAUUGAUUUCCCAACCUCAGCCAGAGGGUGGACUAGAGGACCACACUUCCUAUUAUCAGGGCUCCUUCACACAGAGGACCCUCCCAGGGCCUACGAGGAUUUCCUGGGUGUGUACAUAUGGGUGGGGGAGGGCAAAUCAAAAGCCAAUUCUUAUUACAAGAUAUGUCCAGAUUUUUUUUUCCUAGGUAGAAUUUGAAGGUAACCUCUUGUAAGCAUUUCUUCUAGGCUCUGCCCAACAGUUACCUAGCAACAGCCAGGUAUGAGCCUGGCUUGCUAUAAAAAGACUGCCCCCCACCCCCACCCUGGCCUCUCUCCCUCCCCUUUUCUGUCCUCUCCCCCUAUCUUUCUCUCUCCCCCAUACAUUCCUUGCUUUCUCUCUCCUCUCUUUGUCCUCUCUCUCAGUCUCCAACCCCUCUCCUCACCCCCUUCUCAUGCCCCUAAUAAACUUAUUUUAUACUACAACCGUUGUAUGACUGGUACCUUGGUGAGGAUGCCUCAACAUGGGCCGACUAAGGUACCCCUUUCCUCCACAUUAUGCUACCACAUUUCAAAACAUUACUUCUUAGUUGGGUUUUACAUGAAGGAAUCAAAAUAGAUACAAUUGCCUCUGGUUGAGACUUAGUUUUCCGCCAAUUGAAAACUGUACAAAUGAAUCAGUUUGUAUGGUAUGAUUAAGCAGGGCCGUGAGAGACUACAUAGUACAUGUGUUAGUGGAGAAUAGGGUGUGUGUGUGUGUGUGUAUGUGUGUGUGUGUGUGUGUGUGUAACUGCCAGGAGGAAGAAGAUGUGCUCCUCAGAGGUCCCCAGGGCUGUCAAAGUGGCAGCUCAGAGGGCCCACAAACAGAACCUUCUGAGAGGUUCAGGUGAGGACCCCUAGCCUACCAUCCUCAGGUCCUCAUGAUGGCCCUUUGGGGCCUCCUGCAUGCUCAGCUCCUCACCAAGGUGGAACUGGCUGUGACUGAGGGAAGGCCAGGUUUCAGGUAGGCUGCUUUCUUCUGCUGCCUCUUGGCAGACCAUGUACUACGGCGCAUGUCAGGAUGAGUGGACGAGAGGAGAGGUCUGGGUAUGGAGGCAUGAGGAGAAAAGAGGGAAGCUGACUGAAUGGUUCUAGGCUCUGCCAUGCUGUACCGCUGUUGGAACAGACAGGAUAUUGGUGGGAGGGUGACAGGCACGGCCACUGUGCAGUGGGACAGCCUGAGAGGAAAUAUAUUUCAUCUCCUAGGGUCCCUGGGGACUUUAUCUAUUUCCCAUACAUCUCUGCUGCUAUGCUCAGAAAAAGAAAAGAAACAGUCUGUCCUCCUUCAUCUCUAGAGGAUUUAAGAGGAGCAAUCAUGCGCCUGUGUGUGUGUGUGUCUUUGUGUAUGUGUCUGUGUAUAUGUGUAUAUCUUUGUGUGUAUGCCUUCGUGUAUGUCUGUCUCUGUGUGUAGGUGUGUGUGUGUGUCUUUUUUUUUUUUUUUUUUUUUUGGUUCUUUUUUUCGGAGCUGGGGACCGAACCCAGGGCCUUGCGAUUCCUAGGUAAGCGCUCUACCACUGAGCUAAAUCCCCAGCCCCGUGUGUGUGUCUUUGUGUGUAUCUCUCUGUGUGUAAGUGUGUGUGUCUUUGUGUGUGUGUGUGUGUGUGUGUGUGUGUGUGUGUGUGUGUGUAAGUGAGAGAAGUGGAGCCCAGCCUCUCAGCCUAAUUACUGCUCUACAGAGCUUAAGGAAAGGAUUUCCACUUGAGGUUGUGAGAAAAAAAAACAAGUCAAAUAAUUCUACCACGCAUGAGGAGAGCAGUGUCUGUUCUGUGAUCUCCCUUGACUCACCAUGACAGUGGACCUGGGAGGCGAUCAGUCUGAUGGCACUAGUCAACUGAGGCAAGCAGCCAUUACUGUGCCUGUAGGCACCUGUGACACCAUCUGUGGCCAGGCCUUCUGCAGUGAUGGCUCCAAGAAGAUCCAGGACUUGGCACAUCCCAAAACACAGACCUACACCCGAUAUUUGCACACUGGCGGUGCAGGCGCCGACAUCUGCCCAAGCUUCAGGCAGUGGAAGAAAUUUCAGAGCAGAGAGAGCAGAGCCGGGACAGUGACAGGAGCUGAGGCUCAGCCGUGUCAGCGCCACCACACAGACAGCAGCAAGAAAAGUCUGACUUGAGCGACAAGUGUCAGGCAAUGAGGGUGAUAGUGGGGAGAAAGGGAGGUAAAAUUUCAAAGGUAACCUGUCCACUGCUGCAAAGAGUCUCAAUGUGGUGCCAUUGAAAAACAGGAAGAAGAUCACUAAAUAUAUAUAAAAUCAAGCAGUAGCCAUGUGUGGUAUAGGCAGAAAGAUCCAGAGAUCAAGGUCAUUCUGAGCGACCCAGAAGAUUCAAGGCCAGCUGGAGCCACAUAAGUCUCUGUUUCCUAAGGGAAAGGGGAGUCAACUAAUAAAAACGUGAGUGUGUGCACACACAGAGCAAACACUCAUUCACACAUGUGUGCACACACAAAGCACAACGGAAGACAUUAGGAGGGAGUCUGUUAGGGAUGACACCUCUGCUCCACAGUCAGACCAAAGUGAUGCAAAGUCUUAGCUUGUGGGAGGACACAACAGUAUGACCAGCAUCCAUGUCCCAAAGCCAUAAGCAUCCUCUGAUGCACCCAGAGUCUCCUGUCCUUCCCCACAGGCAAUCCUUCUAGAGUCCAUGUGAUAUAGGAUUUCAGUCCACCCAUGGCACAGUGGAAUAGGAACUUGAGGGAAACGAAAAGAGGGGGUUUCCCUCAGAGGGCAUCUGAGACAAGGACGGCUGCACCAGGGCACUGGCAGACCGACAAACAAACGUAGAACCACGGUGAGCUGCUCCACACCCAGCGGUGGGGAGCGGCAUCUUGGAACAGCUGCCCGAGAGACUCUAUAAAUACUUGUCCUUGAGAAGGUGUUGACAAAGGGAUUCUCCGUUCAAACAGUCCCUGCAUCUCCUUUCAGCAGACUGAAGGCCUGGGCUGAGGGAAGAGCCCUGGGAAGCAGUGCUCAGUGAGAGCAGUCCCCCCUGUCUAAACAAGCCAGCUCUGCUUGAAACCACACACUCCCUUUUCCAAGUAAUAGCUACUGCCAUGUCUGGGAGCUAGUAUCCCACAGGACCCACAGCCUAGAGAAAUGAAUUAGAGAACUGUCUAUUUCCAAAGGUGGGGAUGGGGACAACAGUACUUUUUUAAAAAUAAGGAUCAUUGAAAUGCCUAAGUGUUAACAACUCUGGCAAAAUGCUUCAGUUGUGAGGAGAUUCACUUGGAUACCGCCCCCUCCACCACCACUGAUACCAAACAGAUAUGUCUCUGCCCCUCAUGAAUUUGGUUUGGGGUCAGUCACCUAUGGGUCUGUGGCUGAGCCCAGGCCACCAUUCCCAAACCAGGAUCCACAGAGGUCUUUAUGCCCAGUCUCCUGACCACCCAGGGCAGGGUCAACUAACCAUGCACGCCUCUCUGUGGCAGGGUGUACUUCAGCCCAGGGAAUGUGAACACGUAUAUGCACGGGCGUGUGAAAGUCGGUGCGUGGUCUGGGUUAUAUGUAUGUAAAGUCCAGUCAGUACGACCGCCACUCCUGAGGUGCAUGCUCUCCAACUGCUCUUGUGUUUCAUCUUGCCCUCUUCUGCUUGCCCCACAACAUAACUGUUGUGAUGGUUCCAACCUGUCUUUUCAAAAGAUCCCCUCUCUCGUUUUGUUAUUUCUCCCUAAAAAAAAAUUUUUUUUAAAGUUUCCUUUUCAAAAAUCUAGGAUUUUCUGAGCUCAUUUUCUGCCUAGGCCCAGUACUCAGGGAAGGCAUUCUUUCAAAGCAAUAAGAUGCCUCAGAAAUCUGGACUGGCCCCUCUCUGAGCUCAAGGAUCCCUGGAGGCGGCUGGCAGGGGUCUCCAGACAGGGUCCACAGGCAGGGGAGGAGGGAGGUGGAACGUGGGAAGUGGGGAUCUCACCUGGUAGGUGUUGUCGAAGCUGUCGUACAUGAACCUCGUGAUGAGAGACGUCUUCCCGACUGAAGGCAGAAAGGAGAGAGAGAGAGAAGUUCAGCUGUAAGAUGAGCCUACAGCCAGGGUCUUCUAAACGCACGCACCCGAAAGCCUGGCUCAUAAGAACCACAGCAAGGGGAGAAGCAGACCCCAGGUAAAAGACCCCAAGUCAAGGUGCUGAAGUGAGCUCCAGGGGGCACACUCGUCAGACACUAGGCUGCCAACGGAAGAGGCAUUCCUACCACCCAAGUCCAGGUCUGCCUUGACCCCAGGCACCAGGUGACGUGAGAUCCCAACGGAAUGCUCUUCUCAGGGCUGCCUGUGCUCCCCUGGACAUGCCAUCGGACAAUUAGCUCAAGGGAGGCUUUCUACGGUUCCCAUUUAUCAACUUAAACAUUGGUGAGAAAGGGGAGCGGUGGAGGCAGACUUUUCUCAGGUCUCUCAAGGUCAAGCCUAUUCCCCACAGAGUGUGCCUGGCUGCCCAGUUCAAUGCUGGGCCGUUAGCACCUCUAGAUCCCACUGUGCAAUUGACAAGAGGACCCCCCCCCCUGAAUACUGUAACAACUGCAGGCUUACCCACAGGUCCGUAAACUCCCUAAAUGGGGCAGAAAUGUCCCCAACUGAAAACUGCUAGUAUGGCUGAGAAGCCAAGAGUCUCUUGGGAGACCCAUAAAUGCUGUUAAUUUCCCAAACUGCAGGGGUUGGCUUCUGACACAACCCUGUGCAGGUCCCCUGGGACAGGACAGUGACAAGGAUGCCAACUGCUGUACUUGGAGCCAUCUGGAAGGGGAAGAAGGAUAAUAAUAAAGGGACAUUUGUCGGGUCACUAUGUGGAACUCUUCUCUCCUCUGUCCCACCAGGACUCAGCCUCGAACCAGAGAGGUCCAAAAGGAGCUGCAGGAGAUAAGUACCCCUGACAGGGAAGGCAAAGGUUCCUAACGCCCUGUCCACUGUCCAGCAGGCUAUCCCCAGGCUGGGACUAGUGGGAUGGCUCAUCACUGCCUGGGCAGGGCAGGUCAACCCAAUGGGAUCCAUGGACAGGCCCUUUGCUGGGUCUGAAUCUGCUGUGCCCAGCAUGUAACAGACAAGUGCAACCGCUCCUGACAGCCAACAUGGCCAAAGAGAGGCAGCCAAAAGACCCCAAGUCUGACCCGGCUGAGGUGAAACCCUACUGGGGCACUUAUUAGCCGUGUCACCUUGAGGUGGUCACCACUCUUCUGCACCUCAGUUCCUCUUUAUAACAUAACAAACAAAACAGAGAAUGUCAAUUAGUAAGAAGGUCAUAAGAUGAAUGGAGCACAGGAAACACUAAAGAGCAAGAGGUGGCAGGUCACUUAGGAUAGCCGAGGUAAUUUCCAGAAUGGCAUACGACGGGAGAAAAACAAAACCACUAACACCAAGGCUGUGUAGUGAAGAAACUGACUCCUCCUUGACUUGGGGUGGGGACCCAAUAUGCUUGGAUUGGAAUUGGGGGUGGGGGGCAGCAGGAGUAUCUUUGUUUUCCCUAAGCCCCCUCACUCUACCUGAGCCUGUACUAAUGAGGUGGUGAUUCCCUAGGUGGCCUCAGGGUGGGGCUGUCAGCCCUAAGACCAGAGGCCUGGGUCCCAGAGUCAGUCCAACCUCCAGGGAAGGAAGGCUGGAGCCUUAGCUCCAUCACAGGGACAACACUAAACAGCUCUGUCUGUUGACGAAAUCCCAGUGAGAAUUCCAGACAGCCAGGCCCUACAGAGAGCCUCCUGGGUGGUGAACACACAGAUAUGCCUUGAGGGUGGACAGGCUGUGAUUCUGUGAGGAGGAGGCACAGCCAUACUGCAUGGGAACCCACUGACUGGUGAGGCUGGCUAGCCCCCACCCCACUCCAGAGCUGUGAUUACAGAAGUGCAUCAUCACCACGCCCAGCUUCUAAUGUGGCUGCUGGGGAGCCAAACUCAGAUCUUUAUGAUCGAACGGCAAGCGACCAACUGAGCUAUCUCUCUGCUGCCCUUCAAUCCCACCACUGCAAUCUUUUUUUUUUCUUUUUUUUUUUUUUCCGGAACUGGGGACCGAACCCAGGGCCUUGCGCAAAUCCCCAACCCCCCACCACUGCAAUCUUAAGGAGGGAGCUUUCAGGGUUUCUGUUCUGAACCUAAGGGGCACCGGGACCCCC